This 497-nucleotide ribosomal RNA is filed under the name uncultured bacterium. RNAcentral describes it as "partial 16S ribosomal RNA". It matches the Rfam family "Bacterial small subunit ribosomal RNA", at positions 28 to 507 of the family's 1533-position model. The record is from RNAcentral.
GAUGAACGCUGGCGGCGUGCCUAAUACAUUCAAGUCGAUCGAACAGAUGAGGAGCUUGCUCCUCUGACGUUAGCGUCGGACGGGUGAGUAACACGUGGAUAACCUACCUAUAAGACUGGGAUAACUUCGGGAAACCGGAGCUAAUACCGGAUAAUCUAUUGAACCGCAUGGUUCAACAGUGAAAGACGGUUUUGCUGUCACUUAUAGAUGGAUCCGCGCCGCAUUAGCUAGUUGGUAAGGUAACGGCUUACCAAGGCAACGAUGCGUAGCCGACCUGAGAGGGUGAUCGGCCACACUGGAACUGAGACACGGUCCAGACUCCUACGGGAGGCAGCAGUAGGGAAUCUUCCGCAAUGGGCGAAAGCCUGACGGAGCAACGCCGCGUGAGUGAUGAAGGUCUUCGGAUCGUAAAACUCUGUUAUUAGGGAAGAACAAAUGUGUAAGUAACUAUGCACGUCUUGACGGUACCUAAUCAGAAAGCCACGGCUAACUACGUG